UUUUUCAUUAUUUUUUUCAGUCCGCGGAGAAAUGGCUAAAAUUUGCCAUAUUCAUAAUUAUACCAUGUUACAUAUAUAUAUAUAUAUGUGUUGCUUAUUCUG
Molecule: long non-coding RNA, 102 nt
Organism: Octopus sinensis (East Asian common octopus)
Lineage: Eukaryota; Metazoa; Mollusca; Cephalopoda; Octopoda; Octopodidae
Exons: 3
Source: RefSeq, a predicted model, not a curated record